UAGAGCCGUAUACGAGACCCGUACGUACGGUUCAAUGAGAGGGAGAUAGUCCUUUGCGAUUAUCUCUCUACUCUAU
Molecule: non-coding RNA, 76 nt
Filed under: Granulicatella balaenopterae
Lineage: Bacteria; Bacillati; Bacillota; Bacilli; Lactobacillales; Carnobacteriaceae
Source: RNAcentral